AAACGGCGGCCGUAACAAUAACGGACCUAAGGUAGCGAAAUUCCUUGUCAGGUAAGUUCUGACCCGCACGAAAGGCGUAACGAUUUGGGCACUGUCUCAACGAGAGGCUCGGUGAAAUCAUAGUACCUGUGAAGAUGCAGGUUACCCGCGACAGGACGGAAAGACCCCGUGGAGCUUUACUGUAGCCUGAUAUUGAAUCUUGACCUCACCUGUACAGGAUAGGUGGGAGCCAUUGAAGUGUGGACGCCAGUCUACAUGGAGGCACUGGUGGGAUACCACCCUGGUGAUGUUGAGAUUCUAACCCGCGCCCGUGAUCCGGGCGGGAGACAGUGUCAGGUGGACAGUUUGACUGGGGCGGUCGCCUCCUAAAGAGUAACGGAGGCGCUCAAAGGUUCCCUCAGAAUGGUUGGAAAUCAUUCAUAGAGUGUAAAGGUAUAAGGGAGCUUGACUGCGAGACAUACAGGUCGAGCAGGGUCGAAAGACGGACUUAGUGAUCCGGUGGUUCCGCAUGGAAGGGCCAUCGCUCAACG
RNAcentral lists this ribosomal RNA (530 nucleotides) under uncultured Symbiodinium. Its description in RNAcentral is "partial Bacterial large subunit ribosomal RNA". It matches the Rfam family "Bacterial large subunit ribosomal RNA", at positions 1925 to 2454 of the family's 2925-position model. The record is from RNAcentral. Lineage: Eukaryota; Dinophyceae; Suessiales; Symbiodiniaceae.